GCAGGGGUAGCCAAGCGGCCAACGGCGCAGGCCUUAGAAGCCUGUCCCUUAGUGGGUUCGAGAGUUCAAAUCUCUCCCCCUGCA
This 84-nucleotide transfer RNA is filed under the name Candidatus Micrarchaeota archaeon RBG_16_49_10. Its description in RNAcentral is "tRNA-Leu". It matches the Rfam family "tRNA". From Rfam's summary of the family: Transfer RNA (tRNA) molecules are approximately 80 nucleotides in length. Their secondary structure includes four short double-helical elements and three loops (D, anti-codon, and T loops). The record is from RNAcentral. Lineage: Archaea; Nanobdellati; Microcaldota.